Molecule: transfer RNA, 73 nt
Filed under: Muricoccus nepalensis
Lineage: Bacteria; Pseudomonadati; Pseudomonadota; Alphaproteobacteria; Acetobacterales; Roseomonadaceae
Description: Roseomonas nepalensis tRNA
Rfam family: tRNA
About the family: Transfer RNA (tRNA) molecules are approximately 80 nucleotides in length. Their secondary structure includes four short double-helical elements and three loops (D, anti-codon, and T loops).
Source: Rfam by way of RNAcentral
GCGGACGUAACUCAGUUGGUAGAGUGCAAGAUUUCCAAUCUUGAUGUCGCGGGUUCGAGCCCCGUCGUCCGCU